RNAcentral lists this ribosomal RNA (253 nucleotides) under uncultured bacterium. Its description in RNAcentral is "partial 16S ribosomal RNA". It matches the Rfam family "Bacterial small subunit ribosomal RNA", at positions 524 to 776 of the family's 1533-position model. The record is from RNAcentral.
UACGGAGGAUGCAAGCGUUAUCCGGAAUUAUUGGGCGUAAAGCGUCCGCAGGUGGUUAUCCAAGUCUGCUGUUAAAGCGCGAGGCUUAACUUCGUACAGGCAGUGGAAACUGGGUGACUGGAGUAUGGUAGGGGUAGCGGGAAUUCCCAGUGUAGCGGUGAAAUGCGUAGAUAUUGGGAAGAACACCAGCGGCGAAAGCGCGCUACUGGGCCAUUACUGACACUCAUGGACGAAAGCUAGGGGAGCGAACGGG